This 65-nucleotide transfer RNA is filed under the name Dipodomys ordii (Ord's kangaroo rat). It matches the Rfam family "tRNA". Rfam says of the family: Transfer RNA (tRNA) molecules are approximately 80 nucleotides in length. Their secondary structure includes four short double-helical elements and three loops (D, anti-codon, and T loops). Lineage: Eukaryota; Metazoa; Chordata; Mammalia; Rodentia; Heteromyidae. The record is from Rfam by way of RNAcentral.
GGUGGCUCAGUGGUAGAGCACUUGCCUUGCAAGCAUGAAGCCCUAGGUUCAAUUCCUCAGCACCA